This 513-nucleotide ribosomal RNA is filed under the name uncultured bacterium. Its description in RNAcentral is "partial 16S ribosomal RNA". It matches the Rfam family "Bacterial small subunit ribosomal RNA", at positions 355 to 862 of the family's 1533-position model. The record is from RNAcentral.
UGGGGAAUUUUGGACAAUGGGUGCAAGCCUGAUCCAGCAAUGCCGCGUGCAGGAUGAAGGCCUUCGGGUUGUAAACUGCUUUUGUACGGAACGAAAAGCCUCUCUCUAAUACAGGGGGUGAUGACGGUACCGUAAGAAUAAGCACCGGCUAACUACGUGCCAGCAGCCGCGGUAAUACGUAGGGUGCAAGCGUUAAUCGGAAUUACUGGGCGUAAAGCGUGCGCAGGCGGUUUUGUAAGACAGUGGUGAAAUCCCCGGGCUCAACCUGGGAACUGCCAUUGUGACUGCAAGGCUGGAGUGCGGCAGAGGGGGAUGGAAUUCCGCGUGUAGCAGUGAAAUGCGUAGAUAUGCGGAGGAACACCGAUGGCGAAGGCAAUCCCCUGGGCCUGCACUGACGCUCAUGCACGAAAGCGUGGGGAGCAAACAGGAUUAGAUACCCUGGUAGUCCACGCCCUAAACGAUGUCAACUGGUUGUUGGGGAUUUAUUUCUUCAGUAACGAAGCUAACGCGUAA